UACGUAGGGGGCAAGCGUUAUCCGGAAUUACUGGGUGUAAAGGGAGCGUAGACGGUGAUGUAAGUCUGGAGUGAAAGGCGGGGGCCCAACCCCCGGACUGCUCUGGAAACUAUAUGACUGGAGUGCAGGAGAGGUGAGCGGAAUUCCUAGUGUAGCGGUGAAAUGCAUAGAUAUCACGCAGAACUCCGAUUGCGAAGGCAGCAUACCGGCGCCCGACUGACGCUGAAGCACGAAAGCGUGGGUAUCGAACAGG
RNAcentral lists this ribosomal RNA (253 nucleotides) under uncultured Eubacteriales bacterium. RNAcentral describes it as "uncultured Clostridiales bacterium partial 16S ribosomal RNA". It matches the Rfam family "Bacterial small subunit ribosomal RNA", at positions 524 to 776 of the family's 1533-position model. The record is from RNAcentral. Lineage: Bacteria; Bacillati; Bacillota; Clostridia; Eubacteriales.